UGGGGAAUCUUGGACAAUGGGCGCAAGCCUGAUCCAGCCAUGCCGCGUGGAUGAUGAAGGCCUUAGGGUUGUAAAAUCCUUUCGUUGGGGACGAUAAUGACGGUACCCAAAGAAGAAGCUCCGGCUAACUUCGUGCCAGCAGCCGCGGUAAUACGAAGGGGGCUAGCGUUGUUCGGAUUUACUGGGCGUAAAGCGCGUGUAGGCGGAUUUGUAAGUUGGGGGUGAAAUCCCGAGGCUCAACCUCGGAACUGCCUCCAAAACUACAAGUCUGGACCUAAGUAGAGGCAAGUGGAAUUGCGAGUGUAGAGGUGAAAUUCGUAGAUAUUCGCAGGAACACCAGUGGCGAAGGCGACUUGCUGGACUUAUGGUGACGCUGAGACGCGAAAGCGUGGGGAGCAAACAGGAUUAGAUACCCCAGUAGUCCCUGAGCGGGCUGGCAAGGCGCAU
This 447-nucleotide ribosomal RNA is filed under the name uncultured bacterium. Its description in RNAcentral is "bacterial SSU rRNA". It matches the Rfam family "Bacterial small subunit ribosomal RNA", at positions 355 to 825 of the family's 1533-position model. The record is from RNAcentral.